This 647-nucleotide long non-coding RNA is filed under the name Gossypium raimondii (Peruvian cotton). Its description in RNAcentral is "long non-coding RNA (GRAI_LNC009315)". Lineage: Eukaryota; Viridiplantae; Streptophyta; Magnoliopsida; Malvales; Malvaceae. The record is from RNAcentral.
AAAGAGUGAAAAAAAAGAAAAAAAUCAAUAUAGUAACACCAAGCAUAAUAAUAUGAAGAUAAUGAAGCAAUAAAAAGAAUAAUAAAAGAAAAAAAAAGAACAAUACAGUUAGCAGAAUAAUAAGAAUCAAAGAAAAUAAAAAUAGAACAAAAUAAUAAGAUAAGAAAAAGUAGCACAUAACAAAUAAAAAGAAUAAUAAUAAUAAACAAUAAUAAAGAAAGAACAAGGAGAAAAAGGGUAGACCGAAGGCAGUGGCCGGAGUGGGGGUCGCGCGAUAGGGAGAGGAGAAACGACUGCGGGGGUUGCUGGGAAGGUGUUGGUGGCAUAGGGACAAGAGGAAGGGUGGUUGGUCGUGGGGAUUGGAUUGGGGUGGAGGAGAAAAAGAAAGAGGAAAGGGAAGGCACGGGCGUGGGUGUCCGUAGGGUGGGGCGAGGCGUGCGACUGGAGAGGGGCGGUGGUGAACGGCGAUGACCAAAAGGAGGGGCGGUUGGGGUUGAGCGGGGACUAGGGAUUUGAGAAAGAAGACAAAGUAAAGUAAAUAAAAAUAAAAAUAGGUUAAGGUUUUAAAGAGGUGACACGGUCAUGUGGGGCUCGUGUUAGGCCAUACAGCCGUGUCACAGGCCCGUCUGGUUCUAUUUUAGCCCGUG